This 73-nucleotide transfer RNA is filed under the name Oryctolagus cuniculus (rabbit). It matches the Rfam family "tRNA". Rfam says of the family: Transfer RNA (tRNA) molecules are approximately 80 nucleotides in length. Their secondary structure includes four short double-helical elements and three loops (D, anti-codon, and T loops). The record is from Rfam by way of RNAcentral. Lineage: Eukaryota; Metazoa; Chordata; Mammalia; Lagomorpha; Leporidae.
GGCACUGUGGUGCAGAGGGUUAACGCCCUGGCCUGAAGCGCCAGCAUCCCAGGUUUGAGACCUGGCCGCUCCA